CAGCAGCCGCGGUAAGACGAACCGUGCGAACGUUAUUCGGAUUUAUUGGGCGUAAAGGGUGCGUAGGCGGUUUGGCAAGUCUUGUGUGAAAUCUUCGGGCUCAACCCGAGGCCUGCACGAGAAACUACCGGGCUUGAGUAUUGGAGAGGUGAGUGGAAUUUCCGGUGUAGCGGUGAAGUGCGUAGAUAUCGGAAGGAACACCUGUGGCGAAAGCGGCUCACUGGACCAUUUCUGACGCUGAUGCACGAGAGCUAGGGGAGCAAACAGGAUUAGAUACCCCCGUAGUCCCUGUCUCUUAUAC
RNAcentral lists this ribosomal RNA (301 nucleotides) under uncultured bacterium. RNAcentral describes it as "partial 16S ribosomal RNA". It matches the Rfam family "Bacterial small subunit ribosomal RNA", at positions 509 to 807 of the family's 1533-position model. The record is from RNAcentral.